GAUGAACGCUGGCGGCGUGCCUAAUACAUGCAAGUCGAGCGAACAGACGAGGAGCUUGCUCCUUCGACGUUAGCGGCGGACGGGUGAGUAACACGUAGGUAACCUACCUAUAAGACUGGGAUAACUUCGGGAAACCGGAGCUAAUACCGGAUAAUAUUUCGAACCGCAUGGUUCGAUAGUGAAAGAUGGCUUUGCUAUCACUUAUAGAUGGACCUGCGCCGUAUUAGCUAGUUGGUAAGGUAACGGCUUACCAAGGCAACGAUACGUAGCCGACCUGAGAGGGUGAUCGGCCACACUGGAACUGAGACACGGUCCAGACUCCUACGGGAGGCAGCAGUAGGGAAUCUUCCGCAAUGGGCGAAAGCCUGACGGAGCAACACCGCGUGAGUGAUGAAGGUCUUCGGAUCGUAAAACUCUGUUAUUAGGGAAGAACAAACGUGUAAGUAACUGUGCACGUCUUGACGGUACCUAAUCAGAAAGCCACGGCUAACUACGUG
This 497-nucleotide ribosomal RNA is filed under the name uncultured bacterium. RNAcentral describes it as "partial 16S ribosomal RNA". It matches the Rfam family "Bacterial small subunit ribosomal RNA", at positions 28 to 507 of the family's 1533-position model. The record is from RNAcentral.